Molecule: transfer-messenger RNA, 351 nt
Filed under: Lachnospiraceae
Lineage: Bacteria; Bacillati; Bacillota; Clostridia; Lachnospirales
Also listed under: 1 other name
Description: Butyrivibrio sp015258065 Standard tmRNA
Rfam family: transfer-messenger RNA
About the family: Bacterial tmRNA, also known as 10Sa RNA or SsrA, is named for its dual tRNA and mRNA-like properties. Its role is to liberate the mRNA from a stalled ribosome. To accomplish this part of the tmRNA is used as a reading frame that ends in a translation stop signal.
Source: RNAcentral
GGGCCAGUAAAGGUUUCGACAGGGAUCUUGAAGCCGGAGAAGCUAUCCGCAGGACGGUGCGUUAAACCUCAAAUUAAAAUUAAACGCUGAAGAUAAUUUAGCACUCGCUGCCUGAUGGCAGCCGUCAGCUGCUUUACACCUGCAUGAAGCAUCCCUGACGUCAAAUCUGCAGGAAACGACAUGACCUAAGCUUUGCAGUUAUGGGCGUAUCAUGAAGCUACCGGAAGGCUGUGUGCGUGGAUUCAUGCACCUGAAGGGAACGCGGUGAAGAACCGGUAAUAAUCCACUAUGAUAGUAGAAGGACGGGGGAUUGGUUUUUGGACACGGGUUCGACUCCCGUCUGGUCCAUUC